CUCUGCCAGAGUGAAGAAGAAGAGCCAGGGCCGGAGGUUCAGUUACUGCCCAAAGUUGCCAACGGUCAAGAUCAAGGUGUUCAAGAGCAGAGUGGAACCAGAGAGCCACCCCGCUCAAAAGGAGCUGCCUUCGCAGCGUUUCAGCACCUCUCGAGUUGCGCUGGAUGAUGAUCAUGCUGUCCCAUUCAUUCCCCAACCUGAGG
This is a long non-coding RNA of Coregonus clupeaformis (lake whitefish), 203 nucleotides long. RefSeq lists it as uncharacterized. Lineage: Eukaryota; Metazoa; Chordata; Actinopteri; Salmoniformes; Salmonidae. The transcript is spliced from 3 exons. The record is from RefSeq and is a predicted model, not a curated record.